CUUUUUUUUGUAGUUUAAUAAAACAUUACAUUUUCAAUGUAAAAUUGAUAAUAUAUUUUAUCCAAAAAU
This 69-nucleotide transfer RNA is filed under the name Blastopsylla occidentalis. Its description in RNAcentral is "tRNA-Glu". Lineage: Eukaryota; Metazoa; Arthropoda; Insecta; Hemiptera; Aphalaridae. The record is from RNAcentral.